Long non-coding RNA from Pygocentrus nattereri (red-bellied piranha), 1197 nucleotides. RefSeq lists it as uncharacterized. The record is from RefSeq and is a predicted model, not a curated record. The transcript is spliced from 3 exons. NCBI's taxonomy places the organism in Eukaryota, Metazoa, Chordata, Actinopteri, Characiformes, Serrasalmidae.
UGUAGAUACACUCAGCACACCGGAUAAGCCUAUAGGCCUGUUUCACAAUCUGAUUCAAGCUAAGAAACAUAAAUACAGAAAAGACCGGCAGCCCAGCCCACGACAGAGAGGAGCACGAGACAGAGGACAAGGAACAAUGUGUAGUCUCAAGAUUGAAGCUCACAAUCCUCUGGUCACCACCAAAAAUCCUCAACCACUGAGCUACCAUAGCCAAAACCGACCAGAGCAAACAUGUUGCCUAUAAUCGGGACCAGCACAACAGUCCGUUCGUCUGAGUCUCUGGAUGUGCAGAAAACCACUUCACAGGAAAAGUCGACAACAUCUCACCAUGGCGAAUUCUCAAGAAUUAAGAUUGGGGGUGGGGUUAAAGUCAGGGACAUGGCAUGAUUAGCAAUUAUAGCAACGGUUUUUGUUAUAUAAGAUAUGUCCCAUUCAGUGUAAUUACUAUUCAUUUUCUGUACAACGCUUGGAAACAUAGCUUCAGGUUUUGUGAUGCCACCACGUGUCACGCAUCAAAUUUCCUUUCAGCUUUUUGUGUUAGCUUUGUAGCUAGCGUGCUCACAAGCUAACUUUGUUCUGGGCUAUAUCUACAAAACAGAAUUUCAUGAUCAAAUAGAUAACAUGCCAAUACACAUGAUAUAUGAGGCUAAAUGGAAAACUAAGAUGUAAUGUAGGAAGACAAACUUUUAUUUUACAUAAGAAACAAUGUGCAAUUUUAUCAUGCUAAAUUUGAAUAACAUGCUCAGCGAAAUACAGACUUUAAACAUGCAAAUUCCUUAAAUGGUCUAGGUAAUACUCCUAAACUGGUAUUAGCAGUUUUGAGAGGAACACGAUUUAGAUCACAAGAGAUCCACGCAGAGCGUUUUUACUUAAAUAAAUAUCCUACUAUUUUGCUGGUGUGACUGUCAUUAGCUAAUAUACAGUAUAUUAAAUGUGAUUAUAUUGUAUUAUUUGGGGUUUAUCUCUUUUGUGUGAUGUUUUACAUAAUUAAGUAUUGAAUGUGCUGUUUUGAAAACAAUAAAAGUUGAUUCUGAAAUAAAAGGAGACUUGGGGAGCAAAGUCAAGCAGUGCUUUAUCCCAUACAGAUAUCCUUGCUCACGUUCCUGUUCUGAAGAGAACACCAGAUAACGAAAAGGCCAGUGGUCAAGACAGGACAGUAAGGUAUCAGUCUCAGAGUCAUGGAACUACAGAGAGUAG